This 559-nucleotide ribosomal RNA is filed under the name Tricholoma cf. japonicum TRTC156504. Its description in RNAcentral is "eukaryotic LSU rRNA". The stretch from base 183 to 337 matches the Rfam family "5.8S ribosomal RNA". The record is from RNAcentral. Lineage: Eukaryota; Fungi; Basidiomycota; Agaricomycetes; Agaricales; Tricholomataceae.
UGUGCACACCUAACGGCAAUCUUUGUAUCACCUGUGCACUUUUUGUAGACCUAAAGUAUGAGGACUGCCGUGCGUCAAGCCAGCUUUCCUUACAUUUAUGGUCUAUGCUUUUGACUUAUACACCUACAGUAUGUCAAUGAAUGUUUAUUGUCGGGCGUAAUUGCCCUUUAAAAAUAUUGUACAACUUUCAACAACGGAUCUCUUGGCUCUCGCAUCGAUGAAGAACGCAGCGAAAUGCGAUAAGUAAUGUGAAUUGCAGAAUUCAGUGAAUCAUCGAAUCUUUGAACGCACCUUGUGCUCCUUGGGUAUUCUGAGGAGCAUGCCUGUUUGAGUGUCAUGAAAUUCUCAACCUUACUCAGCUUUUGCUAGUUGAGUUAGGCUUGGACAUGGGAGUUUGUGGGCUUCUCGAAGUCGGCUCUCCUUAAAUGCAUUAGUGGGAGACCUCUUUCUGUCUCAGAUAUUUGGUGUGAUAAUUAUCUACGCCAUUCAACUAGGCAGCAUGUUAAUGGGACUCUUGCUUUCUAACUGUCUCUUUGAGACUACUUAUGACAAUUGACCU